AGUGAACGCUGGCGGCAGGCCUAAUACAUGCAAGUCGAACGGCAGCACAGCAGAGCUUGCUCUGUGGGUGGCGAGUGGCGGACGGGUGAGGAAUACAUGGGAAUCUGCCCAGUCGUGGGGGAUAACGUAUGGAAACGUACGCUAAUACCGCAUGCGCCCUACGGGGGAAAGCUGGGGACCGCAAGGCCUGGCGCGAUUGGAUGAGCCCAUGUUCGAUUAGCUAGUUGGCGGGGUAAAGGCCCACCAAGGCGACGAUCGAUAGCUGGUCUGAGAGGAUGAUCAGCCACACUGGAACUGAGACACGGUCCAGACUCCUACGGGAGGCAGCAGUAGGGAAUAUUGGACAAUGGGGGCAACCCUGAUCCAGCCAUGCCGCGUGAGUGAUGAAGGCCCUAGGGUUGUAAAGCUCUUUUACCCGGGAUGAUAAUGACAGUACCGGGAGAAUAAGCUCCGGCUAACUUCGUGCCAGCAG
RNAcentral lists this ribosomal RNA (472 nucleotides) under uncultured bacterium. RNAcentral describes it as "bacterial SSU rRNA". It matches the Rfam family "Bacterial small subunit ribosomal RNA", at positions 29 to 514 of the family's 1533-position model. The record is from RNAcentral.